RNA transcript from Daphnia magna, 5223 nucleotides. RefSeq lists it as uncharacterized. The transcript has 5 exons. The record is from RefSeq and is a predicted model, not a curated record. Lineage: Eukaryota; Metazoa; Arthropoda; Branchiopoda; Diplostraca; Daphniidae.
AUGUUCCUCCAAAUCGGAUUUUUUUGUUUGUUUCUUUGUUCUCGACGUUACCGAAUCCCAGGACGCCUGUCACUGAUUAUGCUCUCUAAAGAGCGUAAUAAAAAAAAGAAGGACAGGUUUUUCGCUUUGCACUAUACUUUGCUGAGGGUCGUCCGCUGGACACUUAAAAGCACUCAACACGUCGUAGAUAGUUGGAAAUCACUUCAGUUUUCGUUCUACAGGGUGAUCUGCUGUAUAUGUUCCGAUUGUUUUGUCGAGUCAGGUUGCAAUGUGACGCUAUGGCCCAGAGUGCGUUUCCAGCAUCGUUUCGGUGCGGGACCUUGUUUCUUCCGGCUACCCAAUCGUCCUGGUAGUCCCCAGAUGGAUCAACGGCAUUGGUGGAUCGAAAUCGCUUUUAGUUCCUUCCAGAUGGGCCGUUCCGUCUUGAAUCAAACGUGUCCAACAGGCCACGUAAAAUUCGUCGAGCAAACUGGAGUUGCUGCAAGUUCAUCCGGAACUUUUUGCGGACGAUUAAGUGGCGAUUCGCAAACUUAUUUGACCAGUGCCAAAGCUCUGACGCUUUACUCCAAUCCGAUGUCGGAAGCGGAUCACUUCAACGCUUACUUUGACGUCCUGUCGACGGAAGCUCUACGGAAGCGUUAUCCGGAGAUAUUGAGAGCCAACAGUUUGGCAUCCGAUGAUGAAACUCACGGCAGACAAUGCGAUACAUUGAUCCGCAAUUGCCCGAACAUUUGCCGGCUGUCAUCUCCGUUGCAUCCGGUCAGCGCUUAUCCGCGGAAUGUUACCUGUCACUAUCGAGUGCUUUUCGAUCGCGACGAUUGGCAAGUAGUUCUUGGUGGACAGCCGGGCGACCGCUACGAUCUGGGCUUGCAUCAUCCGCAUCAACAACAUUGUCACGACAACACUGAUCGACUGGUCAUCUACGAGAAACUGAUUGGCCAUCAGCAAUACCAACAAGUGGCCAAAUUCUGCGGACGUGGUACUUUCCCUAAGAUUAUCGCCCAAAGUGGUCAAGUCAUGGUGGAAUUGAUUAGCUCGCCGACUGGAUUUUUUCAUCAAGGCUUCCGGCUAAGCGUCACACACCAGCGGAGGAGAAAAUCGGAUCAUCAGAGUAUCGUUUCCCCUUGUUAUCAUUCUAUAACAGCCAGCGGACAGUUUUAUCAACAAGGAACUAUCACCUCCCCUCGGCAUUGGUUUCCUCGUAACGUCGAUUGCACCUGGUCACUAACAUCCAGCCGGAUCUGGCUGGAAAUCCAAUCGAAAAGCAAUAAGUUGUCAAGUAGUAGCUGGGCAACGUCAAGUGGACAUUAUAACAAUGCUACGUGUUUCCAUCGCUUGCUGGUGCAUCGAACAUCUUCGGAUCCGGCGGAGCGGAUGACUAUUUGCGAACACAACUCGACAUCCAGCAGCACUCCGACGCGGACGCUACUCGUUCGCGAUCAGGUUCAAUUGAGAUUUUUCAGCCAACGAGGAUCGAUGACUGGAUCCGACAUGGAUUUCAGUCUCUUCUACAUGCUCCUUCCGGAAGAAGUUCCCGUCGUGGUGGAUACGCUGUGCGACAGGAUCUUGGAAGAGCCCAAAGGCACAAUCGAUUUGAUUGGAGAUCGACUUCUCUUGAUGCGACACAAACAACUGAAAUGUCGUUACAGAUUCCAAGCGCCUUACGGAGACGAUUACCGCAUCCGCAUCGUUAUCCGGCAGAUGGUUUUCGACCCAAUCCGACAAUGCGACCCCGGCCGUCGUGACGAGUGUUCCAUCGAUUCAAACCGACAGGAUUUCGAUUGGCUUCUUGUGUCGGAUCGGGAUCUGCUCCAUUGUUUCUGCCAAUCCGCUGGUAAAAAUCAGGAGCCAACAAUUAUAGACAGUGCGUCAAAUCGGCUCGAUAUCCAGCUCGAUCUGAAGCAUAUCUACGAUCAGUCGUACAAGGAUACCAACAUCUAUCGCUUUCAGAUCGAUUACAGUUGGAUAGAGGACAGUGGAUGCGGUAAUCCGAUCGAAGACGAUCAGGGUGGAAUGAUCCGCUGGAGAGCAGACCCUAAGGGCAGCAAUCAGUCGUGCACCUGGCUGAUUGAGGUGCCCGACAACGAUCGCAUCUUGUUGAAAAUCAAUAUGGCCUUUGCGGGAAAUUCAUCAGAUCAUUGCCACCGGAAUCAUCACGUGUCUUUCGGCUAUCACGGACGUAAAAAUGACAGCCAACAGCGCCAGCAACGACUCCGUCAGGUGGUGACGAUGGAAAACUACGGAAAAGAUGAGUGCUCCAUGAACGGCGAAUUCAUUAGUCCGUUCGGUUUGCGCUACCUGCACGUCCAAAUGGAAACAAAAUCAGCCAAUAAUCCACGGGCUCGUUUCCUGCUCAAGUGGAACGUCCUGUUCAACAGUGUUUCAAGUUUGUCCAGUCAAGAAUCUUCUUCCGGAGUAACUAGUGCGGAUAACGAAGUAGCACCUGGUGGCGGUAUGUUGUUAUUACCAUUAUUCCCGUGUCCGGAUAGUAACUGGUCGAUUCCGGAGAGUCUUGUCUGCGACGGACGGAUCAACUGCCCGCAGCAAAGUCUCUUUGGUUACCUGCUGGACGAGGAAUCUUGCACGUUGCGGAAUAGUAGCUAUAACCAAGAUUAUUAUUACCCUUGGGUGAUGGUGUUGGUCGUCAGUUUCGGAUUCAGCGUCGUUAUUUCCCUGGCCAGCGUGUCGUCUCACGUCAGGAAGUGGAAAUCCCCCAUCACAUCAGCUGUUGAAUAAUGUUUUGAUCUGUGAGGGGGGAGGAGAAUGUUGUUCCUUUACUUUCUUUUUGCUUUUAUUUUAUUUGAAUUAUUUGUUGGAUCUUAUUGCCACCUUUGAUGGUAGAGAAUUAUUAUGUACGAUGCUCUCUAAUGGUUGUCUGAAUUUUACAUGACGUCACUUUCUAGUUGUCUCUCCGUAGGCCUGGCAACGUUUUCUCUAUUCGGCUGCAUUUGUUGUUCUCUUUGCUGGAAGCCUAAAACGAUAUUUCCGUAUGUGUGAGCAUGUCCUGACAAAGUGUUUUUUAGGGGAAAGAAAAAUAUUAUCUAUUAUACCAUACAUAUGUACUGUAUUAUACACAAAAUGGAAAUGUGGAACGGAGACUUUUUUGACAGCUAGAAAAGUCUUGGGACUUAUUGAUUUACUUAUCGCUUAAAAGGACAGGACGGGCCGGUUUUGUCCAUAUUUUCUUACACGGCAGCUAUGUAAAAGUGCCUCAUCAUUAUAUGAAUGUCUGGCAAGUUACGAUGCGCCAGACUUUUUUGCUAGUCGACUCUACACACACUGCGAUACACCGUCACUCUCCCAUGUUCAAUUGCCGAGAACCUAUUUCCGCUGGAAGGAUAGUUUGCCAUCAACCUGUGUCACAUUACCUCGCCUACAUUCGUCGGGGACUCUGAAUCUACAUCGGAAUUGUUGCUUUUCUAGUACGAAAUUGACAUAAUGACAUGAUACGACCCCCUUCCCCAUUUUCAACAGGGUCGUUCGAAACCAAUUUCACUGAAGUUCACUAACGAGGCAAACAUUCAACAGCGCCGAUUAAAGAAUUUGCUUCGUAUCCUACAACGUUUAGCUAGUUGUGUAUAAGUAUGGCGUUUAACUUUAAUGAUAGGCAGUACCCACUAACAAGUGGAAUGUCUUGUAAAGAUUUUCUUUUGUUGGAUUUUAAUUGCAAGAGUUUAAGGUGCGUGGAAGUACAAGCUUUUCUUCGUUAUGCGGAAAAACCCCGCUCAAUAGAUUUAAAAAAAAAAACUUUUCCCCGCUCUUUCAACACGUUUAACUUUUCCUUCCCUUUUUUUUGUUCUAGUUGUUAUUUAAACAAUUUGCAACGUUUCACGCAAUUGGUACAAGAUAUUUACCUCGAAUAGCUUGGCUCUAGGUUAUACCUGACUGACACAACAGUCGUCUAAUGAAUCGGACAGUUGUGCAUGGGUGUUUGAACGGCGCCUAAUUGAAGACGAACUUUUUUUCCGAUUCCACGCAUUUGGGAAAUUGUAAGGCAGUGGUUUACGUAAUGAAAUAACUGUCUAUCUUUAAAAUCUCCCUGCCCCCUUCCCUUAAAAAAAAGAAUCUACAGCUAAUUACUAAAACGGUUUUUAUCGUCUUUCACGGCUGCCUCGACCUCCAGAAACAAAAACGUGACACGAGUUCGAUAGCAGUAUGGAAGGUACUAAUGUGGUAUGUCGUGAAGUCAAUUGGAAAAUCUUACGCCGUCGAAAUUUUUUAUGAAUUGCUUCUCGUUGUUAAAUAUCGUCGUGUAAACAGAUUUAAAACAUUUCGCCUUACCUGAAAACGGCGCUGCCCGUGUGGCUCCCCAGCUAUUUUCCUAUACACAAGUUUGGCAACUACUGGAUAAGAAUUAAAAUUUUCCUUUGUUGGUUGAACCUUAAGCAAAAUGGGAAAUGGCGUGAGAAGAGAAACACUCAAAAGGAACAAGAGUAUCUGCCAUGGUUUGAUUCAUACUUUUACACAAGACGUUAUUUUUCGUACUAUGAUAAUGGUCCAAACUCCGCAGAUGAAUCUCAACGAGAAUAAUUCCAAACGGAAGAAAAUUCGAGUUCUGUCUAGAAAGGUAUGAACAUACAGUUUAGAAAAAGUAAAUGUACCGAAACUCGUAAAAAACUGACUUUGUCGAAGCUGGAAGAAAUGCUCGAACGUCAAGGUUGACUCCAAAAACGUACUCAAACGGCUUGCUGGCAUCGUUUAUCAAACACGUCUUCUUCCUGGGUUUUUCGACGUAGUACGCCAUCAUUUAGUGACAACAUUAAAUAUUUUGACGAACCGAAAACGAAGUUGUAUUCGGGCCACUAUUUCACCUAUUCCACCAAUUCAUAGAAUGCUAGAAAAAAGUUGAAUACUGAUAGCAAAACUACAUGACAAAUCAUAUAUAUACAUACAAAAUCAUCUUUUUCUAUCUCUAGCUUGAGAUUUUGUCAUGCAUUCGAAGCUGCAAUCUCUUGUUGUAUACCGUGGAAACGAAGACUGAAAAUGCUGAAACGUUCAGAAUCAACGAAUUCAUACUCAUGAGACAACUGAAAAUGGAGUAGCUUUUCAUCAACUACCCUUCCUCGUCCGGAGUGGGAAAAUGGCGCGUCGAGGGGUGAAACGUCGAAAGAGUCCGGAUGCUUCCACCCUUUCCAAUAAUACAAGUAUCGAAUUAUUCAAAUCAACAAUUUAAAAAAAUUUAUACAUCAACUUUCACGAAAUAAAAAAAGCUUAAUUUUAAAA